AGUGAUACCAGAGGAGGGUGUUGGGAGGAGCUAUAGGAAGACUGUAAUACAUGGACAGAGUUUGAUGUGUUUGAUACCCUUUUAUUGAUACCAUUCCAGCCAUUACAAUGAGCCUGUCCUCCUAAAGCUCCUCCCGCAAGCUUCCUCAUCUAUAUACUGGUUGCGGUGAAGUUAAGGGGGUUAAUCCUGGGUCAUGUUCGUAUUCUGAAAACGCCGCUUUUCCUUUCUCAUUUCUGCCCACGAGAUGCAUAGAUCGGGAUGUCUUGCAUUCACCAGUCCAGCUUUUCCAAUGGGGAUGACUCAUGAAAGGACAGUUAUAGUGCAUCGUUUAUCUACUAGUUUGUUUAUUUACUAGUUUGUUUAACCCAGACCUUGGAUGUGGGGACUUUAAUUUGCACAUGGAUUGGGUAUAUAGCUACCAUGUGUUUUGUCCUCCUAUAGCCAGUAGUUCUUCAGACAGUGGAUCCAUGGCAGCUCUCGGGACAUGGGGAUUCUCUCAGCCUGAUUACCACUGGACGAGAUGCUACGGACAAUGUAGAGGAUGCCAUGGCAAGUUGGCAUGAGUUGGAGUGGGUGACCCACGAACCACAGUUAAGCAAAGCAGCAUGUCUAUUUAAAAAAAAUAAUAACAUUUUACUAAUUUAUCAGACACUUACUCAGAGCGACUUACAGUUAAGUGCAUUCAUAUAGCCAGGUGAGACAACCACAUAUCUCAGUCAUAGUAAGUACAUUUUUCCUCUAUGAAGUAGCUAUCAGCAAAGUCAGAGGUAGUAAGAGGGACAAGAGUCAAGUGCGAGUGGGCACAAGCGGGGAGCCCAGCCAACAGCAAGUUGCAGGAGUCUAGACGGAAGUUGACAAGUGCCUGGAUUUGGACCUGCGGCACUUCCAGUGAGGUAGUGUCGUACUCUACAGGUGUUGUAGAACAUAAACCUGCAGGAGCAUGUCACUUCUUUGAUGUUUGCAAAGAGCGACAGGUUCUUUGCACUCUGGGAGGGGACACCGUGGAGUUAUCAACUGCGAUGGAGAGGUCUUGGAGCAGGCGGGCCUUCUUCGGGAGGAAGGGCAGCUCCGUCUUGUAAAAGUUGAGCAUGAGGGCCAACAUCUAAGCCCCAGAUAUCUACUAAGCACACAGAGAGAUGCGUGUCCCCACCUGGGUGUCAGAAGGGGGUAAGGAGAAAAGUAGUUAAGUUGUCAUCCGCGUAGCAAUGACAGGAGAGACAGUGUGAGGAUAUGACAGAGGCAAGUGACUUGGUGUAUAGAGAGAAGAGGAGAGGGCCUAGAACUGAGCCCUGGGAGACACCAGACGUAAGAGUAUGUGGUGCAGACACAAAUCCUCUCCACGUCACCUGGUAGGAUGGGCCUGCCAGGUAGGAUUCAAUCCUAAAGUGUGCAGAGCCUGAGACACCAAGCCCUGAGGGGGUGGAGAGAAGGAUCUGAUGGUUCAUGGUGUUGAAGGCAGUGGAUAGAUCUAGGAGGAAGAGAACAGAGGAGAGAGAGUCAGCUAGGGCAGUGUGGAGAGCCUCCUUGACACAGAGAAGAGCUGUCUCGGUUGAGUGACCCGUCUAGACGCCUGACUUGUUAGAGCCAAGAAGAUGGUUCUGAGAGAGAUAGCGAGAGAGUUGGUCAGAGACAGCACACUCAAGUGCUUUGGAAAGAAAAGAAAGAAGGGAGUUUUAGUCGUUUUUGACAUCAGCAGGGACGAGUGGUCAGGGAUGAGUUGAUGAGGUAAGUGAGGAAUGGGAGAAGGUCUCUCUCGAGAGAUGAUCUGGAAAGGGAGGAGGGGAUGGUGUUGAGCGGGCAGGUUGUUGAGCGACCUCACUAGUCGCAGGAUUUCAUCUGGAGAGAGAGGGGAGAAAGAGGUUAAGGCGUAAGGUAGUUAUGUAUGAGUGGGACCAGUGGAUUCAAUAGGCUGAGUGAAUGAGGAGCGGAUGUCAUCAACCUUCAUUUCAAAGUGGUAGACAAAGUUGUCUGCAGAGAGGGAGAAGGGAGGGGGGUGUGGAGGACUAAGUAGAGAGGAGAAGGUGGAAAAGUUUCCUAGGGUUAGAGGCAGAGUGAUAGAAAGUGGCUUCAGCAGCAGAUACAGAGGAAGAUAAGAGAGACAGGAGGGGGAGAAAGGAUGAUAGGUCCUCCGGAAGUUUAGUUCUCUCAUUUUUACCUGUUCUGUAAGCUCGAAAUAAGUCACUCAGUCAUGGAGCAGGAGGGGAGUGUGGAGCCAGCCAGGAGGAAAGAGGACAGUGAGAGUCAUAGGAUGCGGAAAAGGAGGAUAGUAGGGUCUAAGAAGCAGAAUCAGGAGACAGGUCAGAGAACGAUUCAGCAGAAAGGGAGAGAUGAUUGGAUAGAAGAGGAGAGAGUAGUGGGAGAAAGAGAGCGAAGAUUACGACUGCGCAUAACCAUCUGGCUAGGGGUCGAACAGCCUCUAAUAAAGUUGAGGUCAAGCACAUUGCCUGCCUUGUGAGUGUGAGGGGACUGGGAAAGGUCAAAAGAGGCAAGGAGGGGAAAGAAAGAGUUGGAAAGAAAUUACUCAAAGGCGGAUGACGGGAGGUUGAAGUCGCCCAGUACAGAGAACGUUGAGCCAUCGCAGGAAAUUAGCUUAUCAGGGUGUCAAGCUCAUUGAGGAACUCUCUAUGGUGGGCGAUAGAUGACAACAAUGUUAAGCUUGAGUCGACAAGUGACAGUGACAGCAUGGAAUUCAAAUGAGGAGAUGGAUAGGUGAGUGAGGGAGAAAAGAGAAAAUCUCCAUGAGCAGCCCUGUGCCACCACCGCGAAGAACAGGUGCUCUCGGACUAUGAGAAAAAAGGUUGUCAGAUAAAGAGAGAGCAGUUGGAGUAGCAGUGUUCCCUGGGUUGAUACAUGUCUCUGUCAGGGCCAGAAAGUCUAAGGACUGAAGGGCAGCAUAGGCUGAGAAGAACUUAGCAUUCUUGACCGCAGAUCGGCAGUUCCAAGCAUUGCUGGAGACCAGGAAUUACGUGCGCAGGAUACACUAAAGUAGAAGGGUUGCAGUCAAGGGGUGGGGAGCGUCUGUAAAGCAGACAGGGAGAGGGGCGAGCUGGGUUAAAAAAAACACAUACAGUUGCAAAAGAUACAAAAUAGCUCAAUUAGAUCAUCUGAAAAUAACUAGGUAAGAUACUCAAGUGAGAGAGUGGUGUGGAGCUUUUACUCUCUUUCCUUCCUUGAAUAACUCAGCAGAACCAUCUUUGUUUCGGUGGCGGUCUUAGUUUUGACGACUAGACCGCCGAUGAUACUGAUUAACAAAACCACAACAGUCACAAAUUGCCCUGCCCCUUAAUCCUGGUUGAUGUGACAACAAUCAUCUGCAAGUUAUGAGCAGUCAGCAUUUCACACACCAAGUAGGCUCCUGGAAAGACAGGCAGCAUUUAAUGUAGAUGGUUCUAGCUAGCAAAAAGACAGUGCACGACAACAACAGAUUAAGGCAAAAAAAAUCCUCUUAGCUGUAGAAUGAAGCAUAAUGAUACUCUUGUGUUUCUUCCAGAGGUUGAAGAUGACCCAGAGACAUUGGCAUCACAUUGUGGGGAGGGGAGGAUUCCCUAACAGUGGGGGAGUGUGAUGCUGCCAUCAUGGAGGGCAUCGCCGGCAGGUUUGGGGCAGUCACAGCGCUACGAUGCGGUGGGGCUCCGGUGCGGGUGGCUUGUAGGGUGAUGGACAGGAGCCCCCACAGUCUGCUGGUUGGGGACGGAGCAGCAGCUUUCGCCAGGGAGCAAGGCUUUACUAUAGAGUCCAAUGACAACAUGCUGAGUGCAGUCAGCCAAGGAUUACUAGGACUUGCUGGAACAGAAGCAAAGUGUCAGUGGACAUGACACACUUGGACUUACAGUGGCAGUUAGACAACAUGGGGAACAUAACUGUUGGUGAGGAAAUUGGUGUCUUCUGUUUUUUUGUUUAGCUCUUUCUUCCUUAUUAUAUAAGGGUGUUUUCACAUAGAGCCCUCUUUAAAGGAACCAAUAUCAGGCCUUUUUAAAGGAACCAAUAUCAGUCCUCUUUAAAGUGAACUCUGGGGUAAAAAAAAUAUUUUUCCAACAUGCACUCUGGGUUUUUACAAAGUGCAGGACAAGCCAUUCAAUUAGAAUGCGUUAUCAGACAGCUAGAUACACCUACUUACAUUUUGGAAGCUAAUAGAUUGCAUUGAGUUAAAAUAUGACACAUAAUAAUUGUAAUGAGAAGAUACUAUUAACAUAAACAUUUGAUUGGUAACAGAAUAAAUAGCAUUAGAAUAACUGCAGAAUAAAUCAUGCUGUAAUUGGGGCUAGUGCCCCUUGAAGAUCUCUUAGCCUAUAGAUCACAUAUUGCAAAUAAAUAAUCUGAACUAAUAACUCCAUACAUUUAGGAAUUUCUGUGCGUCCUUGACAAUCGCUAAUCAAUUUCCCAAAGCAGCACACGUUUUUUUUUCGCAAACCGGCACAUCGUCAUCUUCUCUUUAUUUGUGGCACCAAUGUGAGGGUGCCUGUCCUCACCAAUGGAGGUGCCACGAACCUCCUGUGGUGAAAACACCCUAAAAGACAUUCAUUGACUAUUUAUUUUCUGAAUUUAGAGAUACUUCCAUAGUAGCUACAGUAUGAGUUCAGGUUGUAAUAUUAUCAUUCAGUGGAUUUGCUCUUGUCCAAUUUUCCAGUUGUUUUUACUUCAGGUGCCCCCUUCAAACCACCAGGGAGGGUGGAAGACUCCCCUAUCGGGCUGUCACUUAUACACUGAACACAUGGCAAGUUUACAGCUACCAAAAUUAACUCAAUCAAAGAACUGCACACACUGAUUAACUUUUUCCCCUCUAUGUUUUAGUAGCCUUUUCUGAAAAGUUGUGUUAUGUGACAUACUACAUAAUUCAUUCAUGUUACUGUAUGUUUAUUAAUCCUACAAAGACUGAAGGUGUAUGUAAAGUUUGAAUACAUUAUUGUAAUGUUAAUGUAAACAGUCUAUUUAAACCAGUUCAAUAUUCAAUGGACAAGUGGGGCAAGAAAAGUGAAUGUAGAAUUGUUGGAGGGAAGGGGCAAAUCAUUUUGGCCUUAUUCCAACAACCUAGAAACAAUCUCUCUUUGACCAGGAUACUAUCGCCUUUUCACACAACCAUGUUUCCGUUUCAGUACGCUUGAGAGAAACUUAUUCAUAGACAAUUCACCACACUCCACAGUUUAGCAUCUUAUGAUCAAUAAGAAAACACAAGAGCAAAGGAAGCGCAUGUUGAAUUGAAAGAGAUGUGAGUAUGAAAACAGACUUGUUGUUUUUCAUGUGGGGGCCACUGCAGAUACAGUAUGUGAACUACCCUACCGGUCAAAAGUUUUAGAACACCUACUCAUUCAAGUGUUUUUCUUUAUUUUUUACUAUUUUCUACAGCACUCUGGAGCAGGUUUUCAUCAAGGAUCUCUCUGUACUUUGCUCCGUUAAUCUUUCCCUCGAUCCUGACUAGUCUCCCAGUCCCUGCCACUGAAAAACAUCCCCACAGCAUGAUGCUGCCACCACCAUGCAUCAUCGUGGGGAUUGUGUCAGGUUUCUUCCAGACGUGAUGCUUGGCAUUCAGGCCAAAGAGUUCAAUCUUGGUUUCAUCAGACCAGAGAAUCUUGUUUCUCAUGGUCUGAGAGUCCUUUAGGUGCCUUUUGGCAAACUCCAAGCGGGCUGUCAUGUGUCUUUUACUGAGGAGUGGCUUCUUUCUGGCCACUCUACAAUUAAGGCCUGAUUGGUGGAGUGCUGCAGAGAUGGUUGUCCUUCUGGAAGGUUCUCCCAUCUCCACAGAGGAACUCUGGAGCUCUGUCAGAGUGACCAUUUGGGUUCUUGGCCACCUCCGUGACCAAGGCCCUUCUUACCCGAUUGCUCAGUUUGGCUGGGAGGACAGCUCUAGGAAGAGUCUUGGUGCUUCCAAACUUCUUCCAUUUAAGAAUUAUAGAGACCACUUGCACUAUAAACACAAAAAAGUCCACCUUUUUCUACAUGGCAAUCACUGCAUACUGUGGGACAUCCACUUCCAUCUCCUCUCUACUCAGUCCUUCAGCUAUUUUCACUGCCUCCACAUAGGAGACCGGCUGGAUUGCCCUGAUCCUAGCUACUGCGACCUCCAUCAUCCGCAUAUCUCACGGACUCAAGUUUUACAAGUUGGGAGAACGACUUCCUUUUGUCUAUCAUGCGAUUCAAUCGACGUGCGUCUACCACUCCUGGAAUGUUAUCCCUAAACCACACAGCCUCUAUGCUCUAUGUCCAACGAAACACCAAAGAUGACACCUUUAACUGGUGCCCUACUCUAAAAGUCAUAGCUUUCCACAUCAUGCGUCGACAUCUUAUUGAGCCACAGAGCUUUCUCCUUUUGUGCUGUUGACACACACGAAAUCAGCAUCAUACUGCUCUUGGUUACUCAAACUGAUUCCCCUUCACCCAAUUCAUCCUUCAACAUGUUUUAGACCGCAAACGGGUCACCCAAAAACAUCAUUGCUCGUGAAUCGCACUCUAACCAUAAACUGCAGUUCAUUUCCAACUUAAGCCCUUUUCACUCCACUCUUCUUCACCAUCGUCCACUCAUUCUCACCAACUGUACUCGUGCCAAGAGAAUCACACAAUACUUCCGGUCCACCAUUGCUCCUCCAGUCAUCCCCUGGGACUCCCUCGCUCUUUGCUGUUAAAGAUGCAGGAGUUUGUGUUCUUGAAGUAGCAACCAUGUUGUUUCUAUUCCAGCACAGCUGUUGCUUCACCAACUUUUUCUCCAUUUCCUUCAUUUCAUCUGCACUACUUGCAGCCAUUUCCCUUCCUGGUCAUGUCCUGACAUGCAUUGUCAUCUGUGGGACCUUAUAUAGACAGGUGUGUCCCUUUCCAAAUCAUGUCCAAUCAAUUUUAACACAGGUGGACUCCUAUCAAGUUAUAGAAACAUCUCAAGGAUGAUCAAUGGAAACAGGAUGCACCUGAGCUCAAUUUCGAGUCUCAUUACAAAUGGUCUGAAUACUUGUGUAAUAAAUUUGCCAUUUGCAAGAAAUUUGCUCAACCUUUUAAAAACCUGUUUUCGCGUUGUCAUUAUGGGGUAUUGUGUGUAGAGUGAUGAGGAACAUUUUUUAUUUAAUCAAUUUUAUAAUAAGGCUGUAACUUAACAAAAUGUGGAAAAGUCAAGGGGUCUGAAUACCUUCCGAAUGCAAUGUAGAUACAUUAAAUUGCAAAC
Molecule: long non-coding RNA, 7144 nt
Organism: Oncorhynchus keta (chum salmon)
Lineage: Eukaryota; Metazoa; Chordata; Actinopteri; Salmoniformes; Salmonidae
Exons: 4
Source: RefSeq, a predicted model, not a curated record